This 579-nucleotide small RNA is filed under the name Pongo abelii (Sumatran orangutan). RNAcentral's name for it is "retained intron". The record is from RNAcentral. Lineage: Eukaryota; Metazoa; Chordata; Mammalia; Primates; Hominidae.
GGCUGAGGUGGCAGUGGCUUCACCAACAUGGAGCUUUCGCAGAUGACGGAGCUCAUGGGGCUGUCGGUGUUGCUUGGGCUGCUGGCCCUGAUGGCGACGGCGGCGGUAGCGCGGGGGUGGCUGCGCGCGGGGGAGGAGAGGAGCGGUCGGCCGGCCUGCCAAAAAGCAAAUGGAUUUCCACCUGACAAAUCCUCGGGAUCCAAGAAGCAGAAACAGUAUCAGCGGAUUCGGAAGGAGAAGCCUCAACAACACAACUUCACCCACCGCCUCCUGGCUGCAGCUCUGAAGAGCCACAGCGGGAACAUAUCUUGCAUGGACUUUAGCAGCAAUGGCAAAUACCUGGCCACCUGUGCAGAUGAUCGCACCAUCCGCAUCUGGAGCACCAAGGACUUCCUGCAGCGAGAGCACCGCAGCAUGAGAGCCAACGUGGAGCUGGAUCACGCCACCCUGGUGCGCUUCAGCCCUGACUGCAGGUGGGACAGGACGGAGCCUCAGGUUUGCCUGCAGAGGCCCAGUCCCAGGCUUUGGCCUUCUCAUAUCUGCUUUGAGGUAGCGAGGAGGGACCUGGACCCAGGGCCU